RNAcentral lists this microRNA (21 nucleotides) under Bos taurus (domestic cattle). RNAcentral describes it as "bta-miR-2285am-5p". The record is from miRBase by way of RNAcentral. Lineage: Eukaryota; Metazoa; Chordata; Mammalia; Artiodactyla; Bovidae.
AAAAAGUUAGUUUAGGUUUUU